GCGGAUAUUUCAGAGCCCAGAUUAUGAAGUUGUUUGGUGAGUAUGCUUUUGUUGUUCAUUGUUUGAUGGUGCAAUUUCAGGGACAAUCGAUAUAUGCACAUCGCGUGUACCUGUUUUCAGUAACCAAAGAGGAGGCUGAUGCUUCCGCGGAAAGCUCGAGCAAGAGAUUUUCCUGCCCCAAAUGCCUAUGGACAGCAGUUUAGAAGGCGACACCGCAGCGAAUGGGGAAUCCUACAGAAAGCACAAAAGACAAAAACAAGUGCCAAAAUCUCGUGUGAAGGAUACCGAGGCACAGUUUAGGAAAAAACAGCUGGACCUUUUGUUUCCUCCUGAAGCAUGAAAGGGAGGAGAUUGUCUUCGGCAAGAAGUUGUGAGGCUGCGCAAGAUCUUCAAAGCAGAUUUCUUCAGCCACUCCUCGCC
This is a long non-coding RNA of Rhipicephalus sanguineus (brown dog tick), 420 nucleotides long. RefSeq lists it as uncharacterized. The record is from RefSeq and is a predicted model, not a curated record. NCBI's taxonomy places the organism in Eukaryota, Metazoa, Arthropoda, Arachnida, Ixodida, Ixodidae. The transcript has 3 exons.